GCGGGUUUAGCUCAGUUGGGAGAGCGUCAGACUGAAGAUCUGAAGGUCAUGUGUUCGAUCCAUAUAAACCGCA
Molecule: transfer RNA, 73 nt
Filed under: Fusarium oxysporum f. sp. raphani 54005
Lineage: Eukaryota; Fungi; Ascomycota; Sordariomycetes; Hypocreales; Nectriaceae
Description: tRNA-Phe (GAA) (tRNA-Phe-GAA-3-1)
Rfam family: tRNA
About the family: Transfer RNA (tRNA) molecules are approximately 80 nucleotides in length. Their secondary structure includes four short double-helical elements and three loops (D, anti-codon, and T loops). Further hydrogen bonds mediate the characteristic L-shaped molecular structure. tRNAs have two regions of fundamental functional importance: the anti-codon, which is responsible for specific mRNA codon recognition, and the 3' end, to which the tRNAs corresponding amino acid is attached (by aminoacyl-tRNA synthetases). tRNAs cope with the degeneracy of the genetic code in two manners: having more than one tRNA (with a specific anti-codon) for a particular amino acid; and 'wobble' base-pairing, i.e. permitting non-standard base-pairing at the 3rd anti-codon position.
Source: RNAcentral